This 437-nucleotide ribosomal RNA is filed under the name uncultured bacterium. Its description in RNAcentral is "bacterial SSU rRNA". It matches the Rfam family "Bacterial small subunit ribosomal RNA", at positions 954 to 1392 of the family's 1533-position model. The record is from RNAcentral.
GCACAACGCGAAGAACCUUACCCAGGCUUGACAUGCAGUAGACCGGUCCAGAGAUGGGCCUUUCCUUCGGGACUGCUGCACAGGUGCUGCAUGGCUGUCGUCAGCUCGUGCCGUGAGGUGUUGGGUUAAGUCCCGCAACGAGCGCAACCCUUAUCAUUAGUUGCCAACAUUUAAGGUGGGAACUCUAAUGAGACUGCCUGGGUUAACCAGGAGGAAGGUGAGGAUGACGUCAAGUCCGCAUGGCCCUUAUGUCUGGGGCUACACACGUGCUACAAUGGUCGGUACAGAAGGCAGCGAAGCCGUGAGGUGAAGCAAAUCCCCAAAGCCGGCCUCAGUUCAGAUUGUAGUCUGCAACUCGACUACAUGAAGACGGAAUUGCUAGUAAUGGCGAGUCAGCAACAUCGCCGUGAAUACGUUCCCGGGUCUUGUACACACCG